AACGCACAUUGCGCCCGCUAGUAUUCUAGCGGGCAUGCCUGUUCGAGCGUCAUUUCAACCCUCAAGCUCUGCUUGGCGUUGGGGCACUACAGCUGCUGUAGGCCCUGAAAAUUAGUGGCGGGCUCGCUAUAACUCCGAGCGUAGUAGUACAUCUCGCUUAGGGUGUUGUGGUGGGUUCUUGCCGUUAAAACCCCCCCUUUUUUAAAGGUUGACCUCGAAUCAGGUAGGAAUACCCGCUGAACUUAA
Molecule: unclassified non-coding RNA, 246 nt
Filed under: uncultured fungus
Lineage: Eukaryota; Fungi
Description: partial contains 5.8S ribosomal RNA, internal transcribed spacer 2, and large subunit ribosomal RNA
Rfam family: 5.8S ribosomal RNA (bases 1-52)
Source: RNAcentral